GGGCAUGAUGAUUCCAUUAAAGCACGCGUUGUUCCUGGUCUUCCAAAUUGACCAAACUACAGCAGCUACUCCACAAGCUACAAGCCCUCUACUACUAACAGGGAGCUUACUAAUCCAGACAGGGAUAUCAUAAAAAACACUAGGUAUCUCUUGCAAACUAAACGUACAUUUGAUCACAUGCCAAACAUAUCUGGCAACAGGGCACAAGAAGAACAAGUGAUCUAUCCCUUCUCUAGUAUUACAAAAUAUGCAAUUUGCACUUCCUUUCCAUCCCCGGUGCAAUAAGAUAUCUUUGGUCAGUAUACUUUUUUCAGUAACUAGCUACAAGAAGACUUUAAUCUUAAGGACAGUAUAACUAAGAUUGCCCUCAUAUUUACAUCAUGGCCGAUCUUGCCCGAAUUAUGUUUAGUAUCUUGCUCUGAUCCGUAUUACUAGUCAUUAAUGACAGUACAAGAAAGAUGGCCAAUGAAGAAUUGCUGAGGGAUAAGCUUGAUAGUUAUUGGCAGGCCUUAUAAAAACAUUGAUCUACUAAUUAGUGAACCUUUUAAGAAUAUAUGUACUUUAUAAUAAUACAUUUUCGUUUACGCGAUGUUAACUUCUCCCUUCGUUCCUAAAUAUAUGUCUUUUUAGAGAUUCCACUAUGGACUACAUACGGAGCAAAAAAUGAGUGAAUCUACAUUCUAAAAUAUGUCUAUAUACAUCCGUACGUAGUCCAUAUUGAAAACUCUAAAAAGACAUAUAUUUAGAAACGGAGGGAGUAUUAUCCAGAAAAUUUGAUUUUGCAACACUAUGCUUGGAUAGUUUGUAGUAGCGUUAUUUGCAUGUAUGCUCUCACUUGUGCCUAGUCACAUCUCCUCCUCCAAAAUCUGGUAUCUCUAUCAAAAUAGGGCUUGUCCAGUAGACCAGUACCCCCAAGCCACUGUGGCAGCAGCAGCGGUGAGGUGAGGAAGGUGAGAAGGGUUAUCCUUUUCUUCCGAUCCGUCUUCUUCUGUAUUUCUGUUGUUUUGUGUGGUUCUAAUAAUGCAAGCAUAUCUCACAUGUAAAUUCCUUUCUUGGUAGGCGGUUAUAAGCAUGGAGCCCAAAGAGAAGUCCGAAACGACCAGCGCUGCCAGCCCACCUCCACCGCGGCUGGACUGCAUAAAGUGCUUCGAUGCGCUAUGGUUCUGCUAUACCCCUUUCCACCAGCUGCAGACCUACUACCGCCAUGGGGAUUUUGACACCUGCUUCGGCAAGUGGGGCGACCUCGUUGACUGUCUCUCGCUCAAGACGAAGCGGAGGGCGGAGGUAGAGGAGAUCCUCAUCGCGCGGGAGAAGGCCAAGCCGCACAUCUGGACCUUCCGGACUGUCGAAGAGGCGCAGGCGAACUGGUGGCAGAUGUACAAGCACAAGGUGGUGAUGUCGUCGCCACCCAAGACUGUAGGUUCUGCUGCGCCUCCUCCUGGAUCAUCUGGUGCUCUUUCCUGAGAAUUGAAGGUCGGGGGAGCCUACAGAAGCGUCGAUUGCGCUUUUGUGCGCCGUGCUUGGACCGCUGGUCUUUGUUCAGACUUGAAUGUACCCUGGCAGGGUAAAUAAUUGGAACCUUGGAUGGAAAGAUACCUUGAUCCUGUUCUGUAGAUCAUGGCAGGCAACUGAACCAAGAUGUUCUGGUGGAUUGCUCUUUUGCUAUUUUUUGCACAAGCUCUGAUGCUAGCUUUUUUGCUUAGUUGCUUAUCAGGCAUAAAUGUUCUCCCUCCUGGUUCUUCAAGCAAUUGUUAUCUGAAUAUCACACCUGCAGCAAUGCUGCUUUUGUUAUCUGAAUAUCAC
RNAcentral lists this ribosomal RNA (1803 nucleotides) under Triticum aestivum (bread wheat). RNAcentral describes it as "partial small subunit ribosomal RNA". The record is from RNAcentral. Lineage: Eukaryota; Viridiplantae; Streptophyta; Magnoliopsida; Poales; Poaceae.